CCGAUCUUAGCUCAGUUUGUAGAGCAGAGGACUGUAGUUGACCAAGCAGGAUCAUCCUUAGGUUGCUGGUUGGAAUCCAGCAGGUCGGA
Beta vulgaris subsp. vulgaris (sugar beet) is the source of this 89-nucleotide non-coding RNA. The record is from Rfam. Lineage: Eukaryota; Viridiplantae; Streptophyta; Magnoliopsida; Caryophyllales; Amaranthaceae.